UGCAAGUAGAACGCUGAAGAGAGGAGCUUGCUCUUCUUGGAUGAGUUGCGAACGGGUGAGUAACGCGUAGGUAACCUGCCUUGUAGCGGGGGAUAACUAUUGGAAACGAUAGCUAAUACCGCAUAACAAUGGGUGACACAUGUCAUUUAUUUGAAAGGGGCAAUUGCUCCACUACAAGAUGGACCUGCGUUGUAUUAGCUAGUAGGUGAGGUAACGGCUCACCUAGGCGACGAUACAUAGCCGACCUGAGAGGGUGAUCGGCCACACUGGGACUGAGACACGGCCCAGACUCCUACGGGAGGCAGCAGUAGGGAAUCUUCGGCAAUGGGGGCAACCCUGACCGAGCAACGCCGCGUGAGUGAAGAAGGUUUUCGGAUCGUAAAGCUCUGUUGUAAGUCAAGAACGAGUGUGAGAGUGGAAAGUUCACACUGUGACGGUAGCUUACCAGAAAGGGACGGCUAACUACGUGCCAGCAGCCGCGGUAAUACGUAGGUCCCGAGCGUUGUCCGGAUUUAUUGGGCGUAAAGCGAGCGCAGGCGGUUUGAUAAGUCUGAAGUUAAAGGCUGUGGCUCAACCAUAGUUCGCUUUGGAAACUGUCAAACUUGAGUGCAGAAGGGGAGAGUGGAAUUCCAUGUGUAGCGGUGAAAUGCGUAGAUAUAUGGAGGAACACCGGUGGCGAAAGCGGCUCUCUGGUCUGUAACUGACGCUGAGGCUCGAAAGCGUGGGGAGCGAACAGGAUUAGAUACCCUGGUAGUCCACGCCGUAGACGAUGAGUGCUACGUGUUGGAUCCUUUCCGGGAUUCAGUGCCGCAGCUAACGCAGUAAGCACUCCGCCUGGGGAGUACGACCGCACGUUGAAACUCAAGGACUUGAC
Molecule: ribosomal RNA, 874 nt
Filed under: Streptococcus salivarius
Lineage: Bacteria; Bacillati; Bacillota; Bacilli; Lactobacillales; Streptococcaceae
Description: bacterial SSU rRNA
Rfam family: Bacterial small subunit ribosomal RNA
Source: RNAcentral